UACGAAGGGGGCUAGCGUUGUUCGGAAUCACUGGGCGUAAAGGGCGCGUAGGCGGCUUUAUAAGUCGGGGGUGAAAGCCUGUGGCUCAACCACAGAAUUGCCUUCGAUACUGUAGAGCUUGAGACCGGAAGAGGUAAGUGGAACUGCGAGUGUAGAGGUGAAAUUCGUAGAUAUUCGCGAGAACACCAGUGGCGAAGGCGGCUUACUGGUCCGGUUCUGACGCUGAGGCGCGAAAGCGCGGGGAGCAAACAGG
Molecule: ribosomal RNA, 253 nt
Filed under: uncultured bacterium
Lineage: Bacteria
Description: partial 16S ribosomal RNA
Rfam family: Bacterial small subunit ribosomal RNA
Source: RNAcentral